This 485-nucleotide ribosomal RNA is filed under the name uncultured bacterium. RNAcentral describes it as "bacterial SSU rRNA". It matches the Rfam family "Bacterial small subunit ribosomal RNA", at positions 31 to 507 of the family's 1533-position model. The record is from RNAcentral.
GAACGCUAGCGACAGGCUUAACACAUGCAAGUCGAGGGGCAGCACGGGAGUAGCAAUACAACGUGGUGGCGACCGGCGCACGGGUGAGUAACGCGUAUGCAACCUACCUAUCAGAGGGAAUAACCCGGCGAAAGUCGGACUAAUACCGCAUAAAACAGGGGCACCGCAUGGUGAUAUUUGUUAAAGAAAUUCGCUGAUAGAUGAGCAUGCGUCCCAUUAGUUAGUUGGUAAGGUAACGGCUUACCAAGACAAUGAUGGGUAGGGGUCCUGAGAGGGAGAUCCCCCACACUGGUACUGAGACACGGACCAGACUCCUACGGGAGGCAGCAGUGAGGAAUAUUGGUCAAUGGGCGCAAGCCUGAACCAGCCAUGCCGCGUGCAGGAAGAAGCAUCUAUGGUGUGUAAACUGCUUUUAUACAGGAAGAAACAACUCUACGUGUAGAGUCUUGACGGUACUGUAAGAAUAAGGACCGGCUAACUCCGUG